GAGAGCGUAGCUCAAGAGGUAAGAGUGCAUGCUUCGCAUGCAUGAGGUUCUGGGUUCAAUCCCCAGCACCUCCA
This 74-nucleotide transfer RNA is filed under the name Camelus bactrianus (Bactrian camel). It matches the Rfam family "tRNA". From Rfam's summary of the family: Transfer RNA (tRNA) molecules are approximately 80 nucleotides in length. Their secondary structure includes four short double-helical elements and three loops (D, anti-codon, and T loops). Further hydrogen bonds mediate the characteristic L-shaped molecular structure. tRNAs have two regions of fundamental functional importance: the anti-codon, which is responsible for specific mRNA codon recognition, and the 3' end, to which the tRNAs corresponding amino acid is attached (by aminoacyl-tRNA synthetases). tRNAs cope with the degeneracy of the genetic code in two manners: having more than one tRNA (with a specific anti-codon) for a particular amino acid; and 'wobble' base-pairing, i.e. permitting non-standard base-pairing at the 3rd anti-codon position. RNAcentral also lists the same sequence under 1 other name. Lineage: Eukaryota; Metazoa; Chordata; Mammalia; Artiodactyla; Camelidae. The record is from Rfam by way of RNAcentral.